This 1344-nucleotide ribosomal RNA is filed under the name uncultured bacterium. RNAcentral describes it as "16S ribosomal RNA". It matches the Rfam family "Bacterial small subunit ribosomal RNA", at positions 28 to 1378 of the family's 1533-position model. The record is from RNAcentral.
GACGAACGCUGGCGGCGUGCUUAACACAUGCAAGUCGAACGGAAAGGCCCUGCUUUUGUGGGGUGCUCGAGUGGCGAACGGGUGAGUAACACGUGAGUAACCUGCCCUUGACUUUGGGAUAACUUCAGGAAACUGGGGCUAAUACCGGAUAGGAGCUCCUGCUGCAUGGUGGGGGUUGGAAAGUUUCGGCGGUUGGGGAUGGACUCGCGGCUUAUCAGCUUGUUGGUAGGGUAGUGGCUUACCAAGGCUUUGACGGGUAGCCGGCCUGAGAGGGUGACCGGCCACAUUGGGACUGAGAUACGGCCCAGACUCCUACGGGAGGCAGCAGUGGGGAAUAUUGCACAAUGGGCGGAAGCCUGAUGCAGCAACGCCGCGUGCGGGAUGACGGCCUUCGGGUUGUAAACCGCUUUCGCCUGUGACGAAGCGUGAGUGACGGUAAUGGGUAAAGAAGCACCGGCUAACUACGUGCCAGCAGCCGCGGUGAUACGUAGGGUGCGAGCGUUGUCCGGAUUUAUUGGGCGUAAAGGGCUCGUAGGUGGUUGAUCGCGUCGGAAGUGUAAUCUUGGGGCUUAACCCUGAGCGUGCUUUCGAUACGGGUUGACUUGAGGAAGGUAGGGGAGAAUGGAAUUCCUGGUGGAGCGGUGGAAUGCGCAAAUAUCAGGAGGAACACCAGUGGCGAAGGCGGUUCUCUGGGCCUUUCCUGACGCUGAGGAGCGAAAGCGUGGGGAGCGAACAGGCUUAGAUACCCUGGUAGUCCACGCUGUAAACGGUGGGUACUAGGUGUGGGGUCCAUUCCACGGGUUCCGUGCCGUAGCUAACGCUUUAAGUACCCCGCCUGGGGAGUACGGCCGCAAGGCUAAAACUCAAAGGAAUUGACGGGGCCCCGCACAAGCGGCGGAGCAUGCGGAUUAAUUCGAUGCAACGCGUAGAACCUUACCUGGGUUUGACAUGGAUCGGGAGUGCUCAGAGAUGGGUAUGCCUCUUUUGGGGUCGGUUCACAGGUGGUGCAUGGCUGUCGUCAGCUCGUGUCGUGAGAUGUUGGGUUAAGUCCCCGCAACGAGCGCAACCCUUGUUCACUGUUGCCAGCACGUUAUGGUGGGGACUCAGUGGAGACCGCCGGGGUCAACUCGGAGGAAGGUGGGGAUGACGUCAAGUCAUCAUGCCCCUUAUGUCCAGGGCUUCACGCAUGCUACAAUGGCUGGUACAGAGAGUGGCGAGCCUGUGAGGGUGAGCGAAUCUCGGAAAGCCGGUCUCAGUUCGGAUUGGGGUCUGCAACUCGACCUCAUGAAGUCGGAGUCGCUAGUAAUCGCAGAUCAGCAACGCUGCGGUGAAUACGUUCCCGGG